Molecule: long non-coding RNA, 1132 nt
Organism: Pyrus x bretschneideri (Chinese white pear)
Lineage: Eukaryota; Viridiplantae; Streptophyta; Magnoliopsida; Rosales; Rosaceae
Exons: 5
Source: RefSeq, a predicted model, not a curated record
GCUCUGUUGUGGAUAAGUAAAAGGAAAAAAAAAACAUAACUGCACGCUCUCAUCUCCCUCUCGCUCUUUGCCUCUCUCUUUCUUGUUUGCCACCUAUCUCCCUGUCUUCAAAGCAUAGAUCUUUCUUUGUCACUCUUGCCGCAACCACUGAUCCUGAGACACAAUUGAACCAAUUUUUUCUUUUUGCUGCUAGAAAUUCGAAUUCAACCUCAUCCCUUCUCAUUUGUGACUCAAUUAGCAAGAGAAGCAGAGAUUUGGGGGUGGAUUAAUUGGGGAAAGAUCAGGAAGAAAGCAUUGAUGAAUGCAGAGACAAUGGUGGUGCUUUUGUGAAGAAGCACGGAUUGGUCAGAAAAAUGUGAGAUUUGUAGAGGAAAUGGGAAGAACUAAUUGGAAAGGAAUGGUGAAUGAUGAGUCGAAAUCAGAGCAAGACGGAGGAGAAUAUGGAAAGCGGACCUCUAAGAAAAGUGAGAAUGGGGUGUAGUUUAAAGGUCGAAGAUGAAGUGGGGCAUUCUAAUGACAUCGAUACAGAGAAAGGUUUGCGAAGAAGAAAGAGAGUAGGUUAUUUUCUUGGGGCCAUAAAGGAUCAUACGAAGCAGGAAGAAAGAAAAGUAAAUAAGCAGUCCAAGAAAUUAUGAUAUGGUGUCUAGCACUAUUCUUUCCUUUGAUCAAUGCCGUAAAGAACAUGUGUGUUGCUGCCGAUGCUUGUCGGGCUCAGGACAGAUGAGGGAGGAAACACGAUAGCCUUGCGUUGGUACAGAAACAAAUCCAAUCUUCACCAUGUGUGGGAUAGGGAGAUCAUACAACAAAUUAUGAAGGACUAUUAUGACAGAACACACGGGAAAGACUUCGGCAAACAGUUUUGCUGUAAAUUCUUGUCAACUACAGAGACUGGAAGAUGAAGAGGAGACGCGUAAAGUUUAGAAGGAAAAACACUCAAGGGGAUAUCUUGCUAGGUCCGACAGAGAAGCACUGGUCUGAUGUAGUAUUAUAGACUAUAUAAAUGUCUAAUCAUGUAUAUAUAUUUAAUUACUCCAAAUGAAAUACAUUACAAUCUCAAAGAUUCCAAAUAAGGGUUUUUCAUUUUGUAAAUUAUGAAUUGUAACAUUGAUUUGAAUUUCACUUUUGUUUGGAA